This 454-nucleotide small RNA is filed under the name Sinorhizobium meliloti 2011. Its description in RNAcentral is "putative ncRNA". The record is from RNAcentral. Lineage: Bacteria; Pseudomonadati; Pseudomonadota; Alphaproteobacteria; Hyphomicrobiales; Rhizobiaceae.
AGACGACGGAUGGUUCAUCUAGAUCGACAAAGGAGAACGUUUGCGUUUGAUCGUCGCUAUGAUAAGCAACAAGAUACUGUCCAUCCUCGGACGUUACGAUUCUUUCAAUCGACCCCCGCCCCAGAAAAAUGUUUUCGUUUUUAAACUGUGCUCGACGAACAGUUUCAUUGCGCCAAAGAUCAGGAUUCCGGAUCACCGUUAGAAGACUCGACAGCUCGUCAUAUACCACUAGGACCGUAUCGGCGUCGCGCUUAUAGGCAUAAAUUUGCGGUCGCCCGGUUGAUUCCUCGAGAUUUAGCAACGGUGCUGCGACCCCAGCGCCCUUCUCGAUUCGUCCGACUAGUAGUGGCGAACCUUUCGAAUCUUUUCGUCCGCGGCUAAGAAAGUAAAUAUCUCCGGACUCCCGCUCCGUACUCACCGAUUCGAUACGACCGUAAGGCGCGGCAUUCUGUGU